UAGCCAUUUGAAAAGGAAAACAAAACAAACUUAAAACCUUCCCCCCCCCCUCAUUCGGUCCGCCGUUCAAUCACCAUUCCACCACCAUAAUCGCUGGAUGAUGGCGCGCAAUGGUUUCUUAUUGCCUUCCGUUUAAAACCAAGCCUCAAAGGUCGUCGAUUUCAACCCCAAAAUCCUAUCUCAAACUUCGAUUUUAACGAAGGAGAUGAGGACUCCGAUGGCUCGUAUGCGAAGUAUGGAGGUACAAGGCUAGCUGUGGUGGUACGUGGCACUCGACGUGGGGCGUACGGAGGUGUGCUGGAGGUUAUACGGCGCUUGGAGGUUGAAGGCUGCUGCGGCGCAUCGAGGGGGACCCUAAGGUUUCUGUGAAUGCCAAACUCUCGGGCCAUUUGGGCCUGCUCUGUUGUGUAAUAUUGGGCUAGGAUUAAUUUGGGUCCUUGUAAUUAUUUUGGGCCGAUGGACUGUCAAUAUUUGUUGUAAAUGGAUUGUAAUAUUUGGACUGUUAUAAUAUUUUUAUUAUAAUUUA
Long non-coding RNA from Gossypium arboreum, 526 nucleotides. RefSeq lists it as uncharacterized. The transcript is spliced from 2 exons. Lineage: Eukaryota; Viridiplantae; Streptophyta; Magnoliopsida; Malvales; Malvaceae. The record is from RefSeq and is a predicted model, not a curated record.